Molecule: ribosomal RNA, 379 nt
Filed under: Amblyomma exornatum
Lineage: Eukaryota; Metazoa; Arthropoda; Arachnida; Ixodida; Ixodidae
Description: partial 16S ribosomal RNA
Source: RNAcentral
AUUGAGUGCUAAGAGAAAGAAUAAACAAAAAAAUUCUUUUUUAAUUUUAAAAAUUGAAUUUAUUUUUAUUUGUGCAGAAACAAUAAUUAAAAUUAAGGACAAGAAGACCCUAAGAAUUUUAUAUUAAUUAUUUAAUAUAAAUAAUAUAUAUUUAUAAUUAAUUUAAUUGGGGCGAUUAAUAAAUAUAAUUAACUUUAUUUAAAUAAAAAAGAUCCAUUAAUAAUGAUCAUAUGAAAAAUACUCUAGGGAUAACAGCGUAAUAAUUUUUGAUAGUUCUUAUAGACAAAAUAGUUUGCGACCUCGAUGUUGGAUUAGGAUUCUUAUUUAAUGAAGAAGUUAAAAUAAGAAGUUUGUUCAACUUUUAAAUUCCUACUUGAUC